UACGUAGGGUGCAAGCGUUGUCCGGAUUUAUUGGGCUUAAAGGGUGCGUAGGCGGCCUGUUACGUCAGUGGUGAAAUCCAACAGCUCAACUGUUGAUGUGCCAAUGAUACUGACAGGCUUGAGUACAGACGAGGUAGGCGGAAUUGACAGUGUAGCGGUGGAAUGCAUAGAUAUUGUGAAGAACACCGAUAGCGAAGGCAGCUUGCUGGCCUGUAACUGACGCUGAGGCGCGAAAGUGUGGGGAGCAAACAGG
Molecule: ribosomal RNA, 253 nt
Filed under: uncultured bacterium
Lineage: Bacteria
Description: partial 16S ribosomal RNA
Rfam family: Bacterial small subunit ribosomal RNA
Source: RNAcentral